This 433-nucleotide ribosomal RNA is filed under the name uncultured bacterium. Its description in RNAcentral is "partial 16S ribosomal RNA". It matches the Rfam family "Bacterial small subunit ribosomal RNA", at positions 29 to 507 of the family's 1533-position model. The record is from RNAcentral.
AACGAACGCUGGCGGCAUGCCUAACACAUGCAAGUCGAACGAGACCUUCGGGUCUAGUGGCGCACGUGUGCGUAACGCGUGGGAACCUGCCCUUAGGUUCGGAAUAACUCCCCGAAAGGGGUGCUAAUACCGGAUAAUGUCUUCGGACCAAAGAUUUAUCGCCUUUGGAUGGGCCCGCGUUGGAUUAGCUAGUUGGUAGGGUAAAAGCCUACCAAGGCGACGAUCCAUAGCUGGUCUGAGAGGAUGAUCAGCCACACUGGGACUGAGACACGGCCCAGACUCCUACGGGAGGCAGCAGUGGGGAAUAUUGGACAAGGGGCGAAAGCCUGAUCCAGCAAUGCCGGGUGAGUGAUGAAGGCCUUAGGGUUGUAAAGCUCUUUUACCCGGGAUGAUAAUGACAGUACCGGGAGAAUAAGCUCCGGCUAACUCCGUG